Molecule: non-coding RNA, 25 nt
Filed under: Mus musculus (house mouse)
Lineage: Eukaryota; Metazoa; Chordata; Mammalia; Rodentia; Muridae
Source: RNAcentral
UGAGUUAUGGGUGCCAGUUUCUGCA